RNA transcript from Haemorhous mexicanus (house finch), 1392 nucleotides. It is a transcript of the gene named membrane-spanning 4-domains subfamily A member 12-like, with no coding region annotated. The transcript is spliced from 7 exons. The record is from RefSeq and is a predicted model, not a curated record. NCBI's taxonomy places the organism in Eukaryota, Metazoa, Chordata, Aves, Passeriformes, Fringillidae.
CUUUGCGUGUGGGUUUGGGAUGAGCAGCUCCUCCCGGCGGGGGGGAGCACGGGGUACUGGAGCCCUGCCCGGAAUGGGGGGGCAACACUGGGAAUUGCCCCACAGAGCCAGGGGACCCAAUGGAGCAUAUUCCCAGCCCCACGCAGCCCUGCUUCCCGCCCCUCCCCGGGUUUUGGGGGGCUGUCCCCUCCAACCCCCGUGUCCCCCUGUGUCCCUCCGUGGGCUGGGCGGUGCCCCGGGGGGAAUGCCGCAGCCGCUGACGUCACGAUGCUCAGCCAAUGGGCGCGGGCUCUGGCGGGGUGGGGCGGGGGCGGCCCCGGUGGGGACCGGGGCUGCUCCGGGGGGUCCCGGUGCCCCCCGCUCUCCUCAUGCAGGGCAUGGGGAGCCUCCGGCUGGGCAGCCGCGCCGUCAUGUACACGGCGGAGACCCUGCCCAAGGGCAAGAACCGCGUCAUGGGGACCAUCCAGAUUAUGACGGGAUUCCUGCACAUCGGCUUCGGGAUCGUCCUGACCACGCUCACCAAUGUCUACACCUCCGUCUUUGUCAUCGGAGAGAUCCCUUUCCUGGGCGGUGUGUCGUUCAUCAUCUCCGGGUGCCUCUCCAUCGGCGCCGAGAAGAGCCCCACGGAAUGCGCGGUGAAGGGCAGCCAGACCAUGAACGUCAUCAGUGCCAUCUUCGCUCUCCUGGGAAUCGUGGCCUUCAUUGUGGACCUCAACCUCAACGGGCUCUACCGCUCCAGCUUCAACUACUACAGCUAUCUUGUCCUGGGAAUGGGAUUUCCAUUGUGCUGCUCAUCUUCACCAUCCUGGAAUUCUGCAUUGCCGUGGCCACCGCCAACUUCUGGUGCCGGGCCACCCGCCUCAGCUCCAACGAGGCCAUGCUGAUCGUCCCCAGUGCCACCCGUGUGGAUCUGGCCGUGCCACCAGCAGAGCUGCCUCAGCCUCCCAGCUACAGCGAGCUGGCUGCUCCUGAAGUCUGACAUGUAGGAUGUUGGAAUGGGAUCCUGCCUCCAUCGCUCCUAAAUCCCAGGGCUACGGCAUCCUCCUCCCACUGUGCUGCUGGCUGGGAUGUGCUGGUCCCCCCCAAAAGCCAGGGACACCCCCAAAUUCCCUGCCCCUCUGCCCCUGGGCCUGAUCUGAGGGGCUCCACUUGCUGGCUGCUGUGGGAAGGGGCUUCUCCAGGGGGGAAAUCUUGGACAAUUCCUGCCUGUAAAUUCCUGGUGGGAUGCUGGGGUUCGCUCAUGUUGGGGUUCAGGAAUUCCUGGUGGUUUGGAGUGACCCUGAUGUGUGCCGGGAGCUGGGCGGGUCACCGGAGCAUCUACCUCGGCUCGUCCCCUGUUGGCUUCAUUUUCUCUUGGGAAUAAAUGCUCUCUCUGGGCUUGUGUCUCCUGAA